Molecule: long non-coding RNA, 550 nt
Organism: Mirounga angustirostris (Northern elephant seal)
Lineage: Eukaryota; Metazoa; Chordata; Mammalia; Carnivora; Phocidae
Exons: 2
Source: RefSeq, a predicted model, not a curated record
AGCAAAUUAUGCCUUUAAAAAAGGAAGGUGAACAUUACAGGAAUUUUGAAAAUGAAAGUCCUCCCUAGUCUUGCUAUUCCAAGUGUGGUUCCCGGCUUGGCCUCACCUGCAGGGUCUCAGACCACUCCCACCCUGACCUGCUGAAUCAGAUCCUGCAUUUAACAGGAUCCCACGGACUCAAGCCACCUGGAAGUAUGAAGAGCUGGCAGCAACCCUCCUUCGCCCUGACCCCAGCCAAGACAACAAGUGUCACCAGGUCUUUGCAGCCUCUGCUCCUGUGCCCAGGUGCCCUUUCUCCCUCCCCUGGCUGGCUCCUGUUCAAGCUUCAGGUCUCAGCUUACAUGUCACCUUCUCAGAGAUGUGAGCGGAGAUGGGGUAAGCAGCUCCUGCCUGCCAGUACUCUCCGUGAUGUCCCCAGCUGUGGUCGGGACAGCCUCCCAUAGGAGUGUGAACCCCAGGAGGACAGGGACCGUGCUUGUGCUGGCUCUCCCUCAGACUUCACACAGCGCCGGUAGGUAGGACGUUAACCCUCAAUAAACAGCUGUUGACU